UACGUAGGGGCCAAACGUUGUCCGGAUUUAUUGGGCGUAAAGAGCUCGUAGGCGGCUCAGUAAGUCGGAUGUGAAAACUCGGGGCUCAACCCCGAGACGCCAUCCGAUACUGCUGUGGCUUGAGUUUGGUAGGGGAGCACGGAAUUCCUGGUGUAGCGGUGAAAUGCGCAGAUAUCAGGAGGAACACCGAUGGCGAAGGCAGUGCUCUGGGCCAACACUGACGCUGAGGAGCGAAAGCGUGGGUAGCAAACAGG
RNAcentral lists this ribosomal RNA (254 nucleotides) under uncultured bacterium. Its description in RNAcentral is "partial 16S ribosomal RNA". It matches the Rfam family "Bacterial small subunit ribosomal RNA", at positions 524 to 776 of the family's 1533-position model. The record is from RNAcentral.